CGGGGGGAUGCCGGACGCGGCCGGGGCCGCCUCAGGGCCGCGGCGGUGGGGCUGACAGCGGGAGGCGGCGGCGCCCGCUGGUGCCUAUGGGCAGCAUUCCGGCCAGCCGCUCGGCCGCGACUCGCUUGGGGCGGCCCGUUAGCUUCGGUCCGGCGGCUUUUGGAAGCAGAAAUCCCUCCAUCUCCUUCCACCGCUUCCGCGGGCAGCGGGUGUUCCGCCGAGCCGCGGAGGAGGACCAGGGGGACUCCUUCCCCCACCUCUUAAUCGUGUGCGCCUUCCCUUCCCAGGCAAGGGAAACUUGUGCUGGCAGACGGCCAUAGCGGUGCCGGUACCGGAGGAGGAUUGGAGCCUCCGGAAGCAAAGUUCUGUGACACUCCGACUCUGUGUACGAUAGCAGUCAGUGCACUACAGAACUUUGUCUCCGGUGGCUGCGGCCCCGGGAGCCUCAGGUGGACACGUCACGGGACGGCGGGCCCGGGCUCUGCACCCUCGGAAUAAAGGCUUUGCUGUCGUGGCCUCCCGCUAUGAAGUUCUGUUGGGGUUGUUUCUGGGUUUUCUUCUUUUCUUUUCCAGGGUAUAAAUAGCGCAACAUCUGGGUACCCGGGGUUAUGUCGGUGCAGCCAGGCCGGCCUGGCUGUCGGCAUAAAUGUGAAACUAACUGGUGCUCGGUGCAACUGAAUCAGCGGUGGGUUGGCAAGUGGCUCUGUGUUAACUCUUUCCUCAUGCGUCCUGGGAACGUGCUCAGCAGGCCAAACCCCCUGGCAGUCAUUGAAGAGCUGAAAACACAUCUUUCUGAGAAAACGUAUGUCUUAAACCUGUGGACUGUCUGGAUAAAAUUUGCAUGAAAACAUGAAAAACAACUCUAUCUUAAAUGAUGCAAAAAAGUAAAAGAAUGCUGAAUUCAAUAAAGAGUGGAGCAAAUAUACCCAGAAUAUCCUGAAACUUCAGUUAGUGAACAGUUAACUGGAAAUGAUGGUUAAAUUUCGGGAGAUGUGAAAUAUGAUUCAGGUUGUUUCUGCAUCAGUUGUGACACUUACAACUUUCAGUCAUGGCCUGGAAGCUUUGCAAAUGUUUUAAGACUACACUUGCCCCUUCUGCAUGCAGAGGGUUAGAUCCUCAGCUGCCAUAAGAGUUGUAACUGAUGAAUGUUUGUAUUUAAGCAUCUUGCAUCAAGUAUAGAUUUUUUUCUA
This is a long non-coding RNA of Pezoporus flaviventris, 1190 nucleotides long. RefSeq lists it as uncharacterized. The transcript has 2 exons. Lineage: Eukaryota; Metazoa; Chordata; Aves; Psittaciformes; Psittacidae. The record is from RefSeq and is a predicted model, not a curated record.